AUCCGUGCACGCCAGCCGAGGUUAAAGUUAUUUAUCAGAUAUGUAGAUGACAUCCUGGUCGUUUGGAAAGAUGAGCAGGACGUAGAUGGACUUACGAGCACCUUGACCCUCCUGUCUUAUGGCUUAAGAUAAAAGAUGGACCACAAGAGCAACCAUGAAGUACACUGUCUUGGCAUUUGCAUAAAAUCAGAAGAAGCCAGAGUGGUAACUACGGUAUAUAGGAAACCAUCUUACGUUCCUAUUAUUGUACCGAGAUGGUCUGACGACCCCGCAUCCUUUAAGAAGGCCGCAUUCCGAUCGUUUUUUAAGAGGGCAGAACUAUAUUCGACUGACAUCCAUGACUUAA
Molecule: long non-coding RNA, 346 nt
Filed under: Androctonus crassicauda
Lineage: Eukaryota; Metazoa; Arthropoda; Arachnida; Scorpiones; Buthidae
Source: RNAcentral